RNAcentral lists this transfer RNA (68 nucleotides) under Anomaloglossus tepuyensis. Its description in RNAcentral is "tRNA-Glu". It matches the Rfam family "tRNA". Rfam says of the family: Transfer RNA (tRNA) molecules are approximately 80 nucleotides in length. Lineage: Eukaryota; Metazoa; Chordata; Amphibia; Anura; Aromobatidae. The record is from RNAcentral.
GUUUUUAUAGUUGAAUACAACAGUAGUUUUUCAGAUUACAGGUCUAGGUUAGAGCCCUAGUGGGAAUU